GUGUUAGCAGGAACAAGAGAAAGAUGGCAGAAGAAAGUUUAAAAAGAUGAAAUGAAAGAGGGAUUAGAAAGGUUUGGAGACUGGACAAGGAAAAUGUAGGAGAAAGGGAUGUUUGGUACAGUUUUCCCCCUUCAGUUAUCCAGCAAGUUAAACACAUCCAUACAGUAACUCUCAGGACCAUGAAGUGAUGUUGAGAUGCUUUACUUGUAUGAAAAGUGUGAAACUGAAAAAUACAUAAACAACAAUAUUGGUUCAGUAUUGGUUUGCAACUUCACUUACACCAUAUCACAUAACAUAAGCAUGACCAGCAGGUAAGUAUUAAGCAAAAUCAGUGUUACAGAAUUAAUGGAGCAUUAAUGAACUGAUCUGUUAGUAUACAUAAACCAAAAAAGGCUACCCCAAGUGAUUCACUAAAUUCACCGACAUCAUAACAAAAAGUGGUCAAGAAAAUGUGCUUAUAUCAAAGAUACAUCGUUUCACAAUGCAUGUACUUACAGGUGAUGCCUUCUCAGGGGCUAUGAAUGAAGGAUGGCAACAGAUGAACACACAUCAGCUUCACUAGAGCACACAGGCCAUUUUUAGUUGGCUUGAACUAACUUCCUGUUACACAGGAAAUACAAAUCAGUGCUCAAACACUAUACUACAAUAAAUGACCAACAGGAGUCACUAGAGAACCCAGUAACACUGCACUAUGGUAAAUAACCAGCAGGAGUCACUAAAGAACAUUGAAUAACAGGCAUGGCCAGAACAGAAGUUGUGAAUGCGCUCCACCCACUCUGAGCAAUUUCAACAUGUUUAUGAGUUUUCACGGGACGAAGCUGAAUAAAGAACGCCCUGUAGUUUAAAAGAAAACUCCGUUUCCUCGUGUUACUGUGGGAGCUACAGUGAAAACUCGAUGUCAAGACCCAAGGCGUGUGGAGAAGCAAGCGGCAAGUCAUCGCCAUCGCAUCGCAUUCCUCAGCGCUUCUUCUGAGAUGAGACGCACGAGAGCUACUUUGCAGUCCGCAGUACGGUGCAGGUGCCAUUGUUUUGCUAGCGUAGGCUCAACAUUUUGAACGGACAUUUCAGAGACUUCGGUGACCGUGUUCAUAUCUAGGUCAAUCUAUGUUUUCUUUGUUGGCUAAUAACUCUUGGUUUGAUGAUGGUCCAUUUAGGCUUAGGCAAGUUCAAUACCAUAAUGGCAGGUUGUAGCCAUUAUGCAUGAUCAUAUGCAUGUGUGUGACUAACAUAACAGUUAUUUCAAAUGCUCUUUUAAAUAGAGAAUGUUUAUAGUUGAA
This is a long non-coding RNA of Scatophagus argus, 1277 nucleotides long. RefSeq lists it as uncharacterized. The record is from RefSeq and is a predicted model, not a curated record. NCBI's taxonomy places the organism in Eukaryota, Metazoa, Chordata, Actinopteri, Scatophagidae. The transcript is spliced from 2 exons.